GAUGAACGCUGGCGGCGUGCCUAAUACAUGCAAGUAGAACGCUGAAGGAAGGAGCUUGCUCUUUCCGGAUGAGUUGCGAACGGGUGAGUAACGCGUAGGUAACCUGCCUGGUAGCGGGGGAUAACUAUUGGAAACGAUAGCUAAUACCGCAUAACAGUAGAUGUUGCAUGACAACUAUUUGAAAGGGGCAAUUGCUCCACUACCAGAUGGACCUGCGUUGUAUUAGCUAGUUGGUGAGGUAACGGCUCACCAAGGCGACGAUACAUAGCCGACCUGAGAGGGUGAUCGGCCACACUGGGACUGAGACACGGCCCAGACUCCUACGGGAGGCAGCAGUAGGGAAUCUUCGGCAAUGGACGAGAGUCUGACCGAGCAACGCCGCGUGAGUGAAGAAGGUUUUCGGAUCGUAAAGCUCUGUUGUAAGAGAAGAACGAGUGUGAGAGUGGAAAGUUCACACUGUGACGGUAUCUUACCAGAAAGGGACGGCUAACUACGUG
Molecule: ribosomal RNA, 497 nt
Filed under: uncultured bacterium
Lineage: Bacteria
Description: partial 16S ribosomal RNA
Rfam family: Bacterial small subunit ribosomal RNA
Source: RNAcentral